AGUGAGAUAGCUGGGUCAUGGUGGUGUCAUCCCUAGUUUUUUGAGGAAUCUACAUACUGCUUUCCAGAGUGAUUGUACUUAUUUGCAAUCCCACCAACAAU
Molecule: microRNA precursor, 101 nt
Filed under: Marmota monax (woodchuck)
Lineage: Eukaryota; Metazoa; Chordata; Mammalia; Rodentia; Sciuridae
Source: RNAcentral